AGAGACAUCGAAUCUUGUUGUCACUUGGUAAGAUUGACGUUUAAUUUCUAAUUGUGGCGAUAUUUGGAUAUGUACGCGAAGAAAAUAAUGUAUUUCGCGUUUUCUAGAGAACUCUCAUCGGCAAUCACUAAUCACUGCUACUGUGCAAGACGUACUGCUUUCAGCUCGCUUCGUAAAUCGUAAACUGACCUCCAAAUUCAACAAGGUUUAGAAACGCUGACGAAGAAUUAUUCUAUAUAUAUGGAACAUAUUGUUAUGGAAUAAAGUCUCCAAAUAUUUCAGGAAACAUCAGUCUUGAAGAGCACAAGAAGAGCGUAACACUAACGACUACUAAAAUUCAAAUCGAGUCACGCUUCGAAUGGACGGUUACCGCGAACCGCGCUUCCGCGAAAUCUUUCACGGUGCGAUGAAUCCACGGUAGUUUCGUCGGACGAGAGCUCGAUUCCCACGGGCGAGUCGUGGCGUGUCACAAGCGACGGUUGUGUCGUUGUGUGAGACAGGCACACAGCCUUUUAUUUUUCUCGUAUAUCGGCUUAUCAAAUCGGUUGACUUAAUAUAUAUGCAACGCGCCGAGACGGCUGGGCAAACAACACUGACCUCGAGACACAAGCACGAAUGACGUCGCGCAUUGAAUUUUUUUUCUCUUCGAACUGAGGCCGACGGUUCGAUCCACGCAAACAUAUUCUGUACACGUAGGACACAUCUGUGAUUCGACAGGAACCACGAAGAAACGAGAUUCGAACAAGAGAUUCACUCGAAGAGAUAGAUAAAACACUGCACGAGUAUCCGUUUCGUAGAAGCCGUCACACUGAUUGCAAACGAACGAACUGAAUAUCCGUUGAUGUACAGAGACGUCCGUCUAUACACGUCCAAAUCUUCCUACACUACACUGCAGAGUAGAGAAACGCCAAUGAAUUUUGGGCCGAGCAACCUGAAAUCGGGAUUCCAAGUCCAAUGAGAAUACGAUCUCGCGGGAAUCGAGAAACACAACGCUAGGAACGAUUUGGAACAGAAACAGGGCUAUAGAAGAGUGACAUAGGGACUUACGUUCGGCGAGCCUUGAGCGCCCAAUCCAUAUCUCGCGCGACGUUUUCGGUGAGUUUCACGAUACACCUCGUGUUUGCUUUCGUGGCGUUUUUAUCCCGGAUGUAACCAAAAUAUUGCACACUCCGCACACGCACAACAGCACACAGCGUUUUUAUCUUUCUUAGCCGUGUUUCACCACUGGUCCGACCCGCUACGCAACGAGCGGCUUGCGCGCGCAUGUAACAUAUAACACACUGGGUCUGUUGUCU
This is a long non-coding RNA of Bombus pascuorum, 1295 nucleotides long. RefSeq lists it as uncharacterized. Lineage: Eukaryota; Metazoa; Arthropoda; Insecta; Hymenoptera; Apidae. The transcript has 2 exons. The record is from RefSeq and is a predicted model, not a curated record.